CCUACGGGGGGCUGCAGUGGGGAAGAUUGGGCAAUGGGCGCAAGCCUGACCCAGCAACGCCGCGUGAAGGAAGAAGGCUUUCGGGUGGUAAACUUCUUUUAAGAGGGAAGAGCAGAAGACGGGACCUCUUGAAUAAGCCACGGCUAACUCCGGGCCAGCAGCCGCGGUAAUACGUAGGUGGCAAGCGUUGUCCGGAUUUACUGGGUGGAAAGGGCGUGCAGCCGGGAAGACAAGUCAGAUGUGAAAUCCCGCGGCUCAACCGCGGAACUGCCUUUGAAACUGUUUUUCUUGAGUACCGGAGAGGUCAUCGGAAUUCCUUGUGUAGCGGUGAAAUGCGUAGAUAUACGGAAGAACACCAGUGGCGACGGCGGAUGACUGGACGGCACCUGACGGUGAGGCGCGAAAGCGUGGGGAGCAAACAGGAUUAGAUACCCUGGUAGUC
Molecule: ribosomal RNA, 442 nt
Filed under: uncultured bacterium
Lineage: Bacteria
Description: partial 16S ribosomal RNA
Rfam family: Bacterial small subunit ribosomal RNA
Source: RNAcentral